This 231-nucleotide long non-coding RNA is filed under the name Homo sapiens (human). Its description in RNAcentral is "LHRI_LNC1373.1". Lineage: Eukaryota; Metazoa; Chordata; Mammalia; Primates; Hominidae. The record is from RNAcentral.
UACAGGUGCGCCACCACGCAUGGCUAAUUUUUAUAUUUUAGUAGAGAUGGGGUUUCACCGUGUUGCUCAGGCUGAUCUCGAACUCCUUACUUCAAGUAAUCCACCUGCCAAAGUGUUGGGAUUACAGGUGUGAGCUACAGCCCCCGGUCUUUUGCUCACUCUUAAUUCUCCUCCUGAGCUGCUUCUCAGUAGACAGGUAGUGACAGUGUCAUGAGUGGAGUUCGUUUCUGU